This is a long non-coding RNA of Varroa destructor (honeybee mite), 1079 nucleotides long. RefSeq lists it as uncharacterized. Lineage: Eukaryota; Metazoa; Arthropoda; Arachnida; Mesostigmata; Varroidae. The record is from RefSeq and is a predicted model, not a curated record.
AUACUAGUAUACAUACAUACAUAGUAUAGGAUAAACACCACCACUCAACUGUCUUUAGCGUAGAGCGUCGAACUGCUAGAUGAACGAAGCCUACGCACUGCGACGGCCGAAUUCGACUCACCCAAAUGCAAUGAAUCAAAAUAAGGCUAGGAGUGAGAAAGCAGACGUUGUAGCGUUUAUAUCGACUAUUAUCGGUAGAACCACUGGCGAUCAAGCAACAGCAAUAUAAUGUGAUCGAGCUGAGCCUUCGCUAGCCGCGAAAAGUUCUAGCUAUGGGAGCAACUAUACUAGAGUACUGUAGAACAAAUGAAUGCUACAUAUAUGUAUGUGUAUACAUAUAUAGUAUGUGAGAAAAAAAGGAGGAACAAAGUACGAAGUCAUUUCCAGGCAUAAAGGCUUUGAGUAAGUGGGACACGCUUACUGUUUUCUAGCUAGUCGUUCGCGUUCGCGAAUAUUGAAGUGGAAUGAUUCAGGCCCAUCUUGUUUUGAACAGCCCAAGACAAGAGACAAAAGCCAGCUGACUUUCUGAAAACUCGUAUUUGAUGAUGUUCAGCGAAGGGAAGCCAAAUUCAGACUUGAAGCUGAUAUCAGCGUAAUAGGUGUAACAGGUCACGCAAUUGUUACCGCGCUGUUAGGCGAUUAAGUUUUACUUCUGCAACCGUGUUAAGCUUCGUAAUAUGUUCCAAAAAUUUAUAAGGCCGCUGGGCCCCAACUCAGGCUCAUAUUGGCUUUCUGUGUAUAUCUUUAUACUUCGUUAUUACCUAUACGAGAGGGGAGCUUUAAGUAUGUUUAACUCCUGCCUAUCCUGCUGCCACCCAUAACGGAAAUUCAACAGGUCGACUGGCCUGUUUCCAGAAUAAGAUUACCAGCGGAAGUUGUCCGACCGGGCUGCUUUUUAGAGAAAUGUCAAUGAAGUUACCGUAGGGAAGAGGAUUCCGUAUUCACGCACCGUGAUAAUAACGGAUCGUGCGUCGAGGGAGGCGAGAAGACUCGUUGACAAAAAUAUUGCUGUUUUAUCUCUAACUUAUUUGGCCGGUAGCAUUUUAGAGAAAAAGAAUCUAACUACGACGUUAAAGAUC